GAUGAACGCUGGCGGCGUGCCUAAUACAUGCAAGUCGAGCGAACAGACGAGGAGCUUGCUCCUCUGACGUUAGCGGCGGACGGGUGAGUAACACGUGGAUAACCUACCUAUAAGACUGGGAUAACUUCGGGAAACCGGAGCUAAUACCGGAUAAUAUAUUGAACCGCAUGGUUCAAUAGUGAAAGACGGUUUUGCUGUCACUUAUAGAUGGAUCCGCGCCGCAUUAGCUAGUUGGUAAGGUAACGGCUUACCAAGGCAACGAUGCGUAGCCGACCUGAGAGGGUGAUCGGCCACACUGGAACUGAGACACGGUCCAGACUCCUACGGGAGGCAGCAGUAGGGAAUCUUCCGCAAUGGGCGAAGGCCUGACGGAGCAACGCCGCGUGAGUGAUGAAGGUCUUCGGAUCGUAAAACUCUGUUAUUAGGGAAGAACAAAUGUGUAAGUAACUAUGCACGUCUUGACGGUAUCUAAUCAGAAAGCCACGGCUAACUACGUG
Molecule: ribosomal RNA, 497 nt
Filed under: uncultured bacterium
Lineage: Bacteria
Description: partial 16S ribosomal RNA
Rfam family: Bacterial small subunit ribosomal RNA
Source: RNAcentral